Non-coding RNA from Erythranthe guttata (spotted monkey flower), 1477 nucleotides. The record is from RefSeq and is a predicted model, not a curated record. Lineage: Eukaryota; Viridiplantae; Streptophyta; Magnoliopsida; Lamiales; Phrymaceae.
UCUCUCUCUCUCACACACACACACACAAAAACAUGUUCAUAGCUUGGUUUGUUAUUUUAUAUUUUGAACAAUUUUUCUAUGUUUUGGGAAUUACAUUGCAUGUUUACUCAGGGCAUUAAGAACUGGCAGUUUAUUCUAUGCUACAUGAUUCGGGCUAUUUUGCCUAGGCCCAAAAAUGCCGAUUAUCUAACAUCUUAAACGCAGCCCACUUUUCACUCUUCUCUCUCUAGAGUUAAUACAAAUAAGAAGAUAAGAAAUGAGUGAACAAUACACAUAGAUACAUGAGAAUACAUGUAAAUACAAUGAGGAGGUGGACCUCGUCACUACACAUCAAGUGAACUUCACGUGUAUUGAUAAUUUUCAUUUUCAUAUAUAUAUAUAUAUAUAUAUAGUUAUUUAUUUAUUUAUUUACAGUGUAAAAUUACCUGUUAUAUUUGACUCAAGAAUUUAAUUUGUAACGCCAGUUUGGUGAUGGCUACAGCCUACCGCACCAAAUUCUAGUGCAGCCUUAUUGGCAACGGUGGAGACAGCUCUCCACCUCCUCUAACCUCGGGCGGGUAGGUUUGUUCGACUCCGAGUCGCAUAUUCGGGCCGCGGCCGUGGUCGUUGAUGCUGAAAAGCAUAGGAGAAGAGCUAUUGCAAUCAGUAGCUUAAGAGUGGAUUCGUUGAUUUUUUUUUGUGUGUUUGUGUGUGUGUGUGUAAGUAGCUCGUUUUUUGUUGUGAAAAAUUGAAGAAUUGAAUGAAUUGGUGAGCAUCGUAGGAUAGGGGAGGUGAAGGGAGAUAAAUGGAGAAAUACAAGAAGUUAUGGUAUGAGUAUUAAAUAGGUAAUUCCUAUUUGUUAAUUUUUCCUCUAUUUUUCGUCAAUUGUUGUUGUCUUUUUUUUUUCCCCUUACAAUUAUAAAAAACGAGGGUAAAAGUGACAUUUCACAUGCUCCGUUUGACAUUGUAAGCAGAAGCACCUAAUAGGGGAGGUUUGUGCAUUUAUUUUAAACUAGAAAGGGAAACGGUAUGUAAUUUCACUAUCUAAUACAGGUCCAACUAAAGUUAAGCUUUAUUUUAUUUAAAACAUUAGAUGAUUAUUAUAAAUUUGAAACAAAUUAAUUUUGUUGUUUUUUCUAAAGGUGGAAAGUGGUUUAUUUUUCAAUUCUUGGAAUCAAAUUGGAUAGGAAAAUAAAAUUUUGAAACAAAUGGUCUUCACUAAUGGAAGGUUCUCACGUUCCAUCGAUACGUCACAUUGAUCGUUUUAUUGUACAUUUAUUGUACACUAAUGGAAGGUUCUCACGUUCCAUCGAUACGUCACAUUGAUCGUUUUAUUGCACAUUGAUCGUUUUAUUGUACAUUUUUUUCGUGUCAAACUGUUUUCUAGUGUUGUCUUUGUUAAGUUUGUUUCGUAUAUCAGUCUUCUUGUAGUUGAAUCCCCAAAAUCCCCAAGUUUUUGGAAUGCUCCAAACUCUAUUUAUAUCAAUUUCAGUUUGAG